AUGUGUAUACGAAAGAAGAAGGGAGGUAUGGGCUUUAGGAAUAUCCAUUGUUUUAACCUUGCACUUUUGGCAAAACAAGCUUGGCGCCUCAUUGACAAUCCAGACUCACUAUGUGCAACCAUUUUAAAAGCCAAGUACUUCCCAAAUGGAGAUCUUAUGAGUGCGACUUUGAAGAAAAAAUCAUCAUAUACUUGGCAGAGUAUAAUGGCUGGUGUGGACACACUGAGACGUGGGUAUAUUUGGAGAAUUGGAGAUGGUGAAAAGGUGAAUAUAUGGGAGGAUUCGUGGAUCCGUCAAUCACCAACGAAAAAAGUUCUAACUAUAAGAGGUAACAAUUUAAUCUCCCGAGUCUGUGGUAUCAUUGAUCCGGCAACUGGCGACUGGGAUUCACAAUUGGUUAAUCAAAUGUUCUGGGAAGUGGACGCCCACAGGAUACUUGCUAUACCCUUGCCUAUACAUGAAAUGACGGAUUUCAUUGCGUGGGAUCCCACCAAGAAUGGAAUUUUUUCGGUCCGAUCCGCUUACCAAAUUGAAUGGAAUGCUCAAUUUGGUCACCUGCUGCAAACUGGAGCGGAAUCUUCAUAUCUGGACGAGAAGUGGAAUUUGCUAUGGAGCUUACAAUGCCCAGCCAAGAUCCGAAUCUUUAUUUGGAUAGUUCUCCAUAGUGCUAUCCCGUGUAGGGCGGUUCUGGCCUCGAAGCACAUAAAAGUGAAAGCACAUUGUCCAGAAUGGAAUAUGGGACAGAUAGUAUCAAACACUUCCUUUUUGAAUGCCCGAGAUCAAACGAGGUGUGGCGACAAUUGGGGUUGA
RNAcentral lists this ribosomal RNA (810 nucleotides) under Triticum aestivum (bread wheat). Its description in RNAcentral is "partial small subunit ribosomal RNA". The record is from RNAcentral. Lineage: Eukaryota; Viridiplantae; Streptophyta; Magnoliopsida; Poales; Poaceae.